AGAGAUUGAACAUAAGAGUUUGAUCCUGGCUCAGAUUGAACGCUGGCGGCAUGCUUUACACAUGCAAGUCGGACGGCAGCACAGAGAAGCUUGCUUCUCGGGUGGCGAGUGGCGAACGGGUGAGUAACAUAUCGGAACGUACCGAGUAGUGGGGGAUAACUGAUCGAAAGAUCAGCUAAUACCGCAUACGUCUUGAGAGAGAAAGCAGGGGACCUUCGGGCCUUGCGCUAUUCGAGCGGCCGAUAUCUGAUUAGCUAGUUGGUGGGGUAAAGGCCUACCAAGGCGACGAUCAGUAGCGGGUCUGAGAGGAUGAUCCGCCACACUGGGACUGAGACACGGCCCAGACUCCUACGGGAGGCAGCAGUGGGGAAUUUUGGACAAUGGGCGCAAGCCUGAUCCAGCCAUGCCGCGUGUCUGAAGAAGGCCUUCGGGUUGUAAAGGACUUUUGUCAGGGAAGAAAAGGCUGUUGCUAAUAUCAGCGGCUGAUGACGGUACCUGAAGAAUAAGCACCGGCUAACUACGUGCCAGCAGCCGCGGUAAUACGUAGGGUGCGAGCGUUAAUCGGAAUUACUGGGCGUAAAGCGGGCGCAGACGGUUACUUAAGCAGGAUGUGAAAUCCCCGGGCUCAACCCGGGAACUGCGUUCUGAACUGGGUGACUCGAGUGUGUCAGAGGGAGGUAGAAUUCCACGUGUAGCAGUGAAAUGCGUAGAGAUGUGGAGGAAUACCGAUGGCGAAGGCAGCCUCCUGGGACAACACUGACGUUCAUGCCCGAAAGCGUGGGUAGCAAACAGGAUUAGAUACCCUGGUAGUCCACGCCCUAAACGAUGUCAAUUAGCUGUUGGGCAACCUGAUUGCUUGGUAGCGUAGCUAACGCGUGAAAUUGACCGCCUGGGGAGUACGGUCGCAAGAUUAAAACUCAAAGGAAUUGACGGGGACCCGCACAAGCGGUGGAUGAUGUGGAUUAAUUCGAUGCAACGCGAAGAACCUUACCUGGUCUUGACAUGUACGGAAUCCUCCGGAGACGGAGGAGUGCCUUCGGGAGCCGUAACACAGGUGCUGCAUGGCUGUCGUCAGCUCGUGUCGUGAGAUGUUGGGUUAAGUCCCGCAACGAGCGCAACCCUUGUCAUUAGUUGCCAUCAUUCAGUUGGGCACUCUAAUGAGACUGCCGGUGACAAGCCGGAGGAAGGUGGGGAUGACGUCAAGUCCUCAUGGCCCUUAUGACCAGGGCUUCACACGUCAUACAAUGGUCGGUACAGAGGGUAGCCAAGCCGCGAGGCGGAGCCAAUCUCACAAAACCGAUCGUAGUCCGGAUUGCACUCUGCAACUCGAGUGCAUGAAGUCGGAAUCGCUAGUAAUCGCAGGUCAGCAUACUGCGGUGAAUACGUUCCCGGGUCUUGUACACACCGCCCGUCACACCAUGGGAGUGGGGGAUACCAGAAGUAGGUAGGAUAACCACAAGGAGUCCGCUUACCACGGUAUGCUUCAUGACUGGGGUGAAGUCGUAACAAGGUAGCCGUAGGGGAACCUGCGGCUGGAUCACCUCCUUUCUAGAG
RNAcentral lists this ribosomal RNA (1554 nucleotides) under Neisseria meningitidis. RNAcentral describes it as "bacterial SSU rRNA". It matches the Rfam family "Bacterial small subunit ribosomal RNA". RNAcentral also lists the same sequence under 1 other name. Lineage: Bacteria; Pseudomonadati; Pseudomonadota; Betaproteobacteria; Neisseriales; Neisseriaceae. The record is from RNAcentral.